Molecule: long non-coding RNA, 304 nt
Organism: Rhipicephalus microplus (southern cattle tick)
Lineage: Eukaryota; Metazoa; Arthropoda; Arachnida; Ixodida; Ixodidae
Source: RefSeq, a predicted model, not a curated record
AUUUUACCUGCCAUGGGGUUCGAACCUCUUGAUCUGCCGAAAGCCAGAGACAAUAGAUCAGCUUUUCCUAGCAGAAGAACGAUACAAGCCUAGAUCUUGGUGGUGAAAUGUCGCACAUCGAAUACGUAAUCACGGCCAAGAGCACCAGAAUUGACCGAAAGAGGAAAGUGAUCUAGCAGCAAUACCACUCUAUCUAUUGCAUAGUUGGGUUGCACAAGGGCUGCUGCCAAUCGUUCCAUGCGAACAAUGUUGCGUAAAGAAUAGUGCAUAUAAAAACUGUGAAAUAAAAAUAAAAAGUGAGGAA